Molecule: ribosomal RNA, 1048 nt
Filed under: uncultured bacterium
Lineage: Bacteria
Description: bacterial SSU rRNA
Rfam family: Bacterial small subunit ribosomal RNA
Source: RNAcentral
GGCGAGCGGCGGACGGGUGAGUAACACGUAGGAAUAUACCCCAGAGUGAGGGAUAACUGGCCGAAAGGUCAGCUAAUACCGCAUACGCUCUACGGAGUAAAGCAGUAAUGCGCUUUGGGAAUAGCCUGCGUCCGAUUAGCUAGUUGGUAGUGUAAUGGACUACCAAGGCGACGAUCGGUAGCUGGUCUGAGAGGAUGAUCAGCCACACUGGAACUGAGACACGGUCCAGACUCCUACGGGAGGCAGCAGUAGGGAAUUUUCCACAAUGGGCGAAAGCCUGAUGGAGCAACGCCGCGUGCAGGAUGAAGGCCUUCGGGUUGUAAACUGCUUUUAUCUGUGACGAUUAUGACAGUAGCAGAUGAAUAAGGAUCGGCUAACUCCGUGCCAGCAGCCGCGGUCAUACGGAGGAUCCAAGCGUUAUCCGGAAUUACUGGGCGUAAAGAGUUGCGUAGGUGGCAUGGUAAGUAGAUAGUGAAAGCGUUCCGCUCAACGGAAUACACAUUAUCUAAACUGCCAAGCUAGAGAAUGGUAGAGGUUACUGGAAUUCCCGGUGUAGGAGUGAAAUCCGUAGAUAUCGGGAGGAACACCAAUGGCGUAGGCAGGUAACUGGGCCAUUUCUGACACUAAGGCACGAAAGCGUGGGGAGCAAACGGGAUUAGAUACCCCGGUAGUCCACGCCGUAAACUAUGGAUGCUAGCUGUUAUAGGUAUCGACCCCUGUAGUAGCGAAGUUAACGCGUUAAGCAUCCCGCCUGUGGAGUACGGUCGCAAGACUAAAACAUAAAGGAAUUGACGGGGACCCGCACAAGCGGUGGAGCGUGUUGUUUAAUUCGAUGGUAAGCGAAGAACCUUACCAGGGCUUGACAUCCUUGGAAUUUCUCCGAAAGGAUAAAGUGCCGCAAGGAACCAAGUGACAGGUGCUGCAUGGCCGUCGUCAGCUCGUGUCGUGAGAUGUUGGGUUAAGUCCCGCAACGAGCGCAACCCUUUUUGAAUAGUUGAAUUUUUCUAUUCAGACUGCCUCGGUAACGGGGAGGAAAGGAGGGGAUGAA